AGUGAACGCUGGCGGUAGGCCUAACACAUGCAAGUCGAACGGCAGCACAGUAAGAGCUUGCUCUUACGGGUGGCGAGUGGCGGACGGGUGAGGAAUACAUCGGAAUCUACUUUUUCGUGGGGGAUAACGUAGGGAAACUUACGCUAAUAUCGCAUACGACCUACGGGUGAAAGCAGGGGAUCUUCGGACCUUGCGCGAUUGAAUGAGCCGAUGUCGGAUUAGCUAGUUGGCGGGGUAAAGGCCCACCAAGGCGACGAUCCGUAGCUGGUCUGAGAGGAUGAUCGGCCACACUGGAACUGGGACACGGUCCAGACUCCUACGGGAGGCAGCAGUGGGGAAUAUUGGACAAUGGGCGCAAGCCUGAUCCAGCCAUACCGCGUGGGUGAAGAAGGCCUUCGGGUUGUAAAGCCCUUUUGUUGGGAAAGAAAAGCAGCAGGUUAAUACCCCGCUGUUCUGACGGUACCCAAAGAAUAAGCACCGGCUAACUUCGUG
This 492-nucleotide ribosomal RNA is filed under the name uncultured bacterium. RNAcentral's name for it is "partial 16S ribosomal RNA". It matches the Rfam family "Bacterial small subunit ribosomal RNA", at positions 29 to 507 of the family's 1533-position model. The record is from RNAcentral.